Molecule: ribosomal RNA, 578 nt
Filed under: uncultured bacterium
Lineage: Bacteria
Description: bacterial SSU rRNA
Rfam family: Bacterial small subunit ribosomal RNA
Source: RNAcentral
CGGGAGGCAGCAGUGGGGAAUAUUGGACAAUGGGCGCAAGCCUGAUCCAGCCAUACCGCGUGUGUGAAGAAGGCCUUCGGGUUGUAAAGCACUUUAAGUAAGGAAGAAAAGUAUAUUGUUAACACCAAUGUACCGUGACAUUACUUACAGAAUAAGGACCGGCUAAUUCCGUGCCAGCAGCCGCGGUAAUACGGAAGGUCCAAGCGUUAAUCAGAAUUACUGGGCGUAAAGCGCGCGUAGGUGGUUUAUUAAGUUGGGUGUGAAAGCCCCGGGCUCAACCUGGGAACUGCAUCCAAAACUGAUUCACUAGAGUACGAAAGAGGGAGGUAGAAUUCACAGUGUAGCGGUGGAAUGCGUAGAUAUUGUGAAGAAUACCAAUGGCGAAGGCAGCCUCCUGGUUCUGUACUGACACUGAGGUGCGAAAGCGUGGGUAGCGAACAGGAUUAGAUACCCUGGUAGUCCACGCCGUAAACGAUGACAACCAGCUGUUGGGAAGCAAUGCUUUUCAGUGGCGCAGCUAACGUCUUAAGUUGUCCGCCUGGGGAGUACGGCCGCAAGGUUAAAACUCAAAUGAAUUG